CGCGGAGCCGGGAGCGCGCCGCCUGCUGCCGAGCGCUCGCCGCUCUCUCGCGCCCCUGCUCGCUGCGCUGCCCGCACCCCCGUGGAGCGCCCGGCAGCCGCCGGAGCGCGGGAGGCACACCCCGCCGGGCUCGGGCCGAGGCGGCGCGACCGCAGGUCCGACAGCCGAGGGCGCCGCGGAGGCCGGAGCGGAGGCGAAGUCCAGCCCUGAGUGAGCCCAGCUUCUGCGGAUCAGGAGUUGGACCACAGCACCUUCCCUUCCUCCCAGCCCUGCCUCCUUCUGCAGAACGAAGCUCAAUAGAACUUUGUUGUUUUGCUUUUUACGCUGAGGGGAGAGAAGCAGACGAUGAGCUGAAAAGCCCGCACUGACCACGACGAGGGAUGAACAAAGUGUAGUGAGUGAGGAAAACGCGUACCAGGCACCCAGAAAGUACCUGGGAAUGGCAGAGGAGCCACAGACCCGCGUGAUUAGGCCACGGGAGAACCCUCAUGUUUACUGAGAACAGAGUGGUGAAAAGGGCGGCACGGGAGGCUGACACCUAGACCCGAAUCCUGGC
Molecule: long non-coding RNA, 556 nt
Filed under: Rhinolophus ferrumequinum (greater horseshoe bat)
Lineage: Eukaryota; Metazoa; Chordata; Mammalia; Chiroptera; Rhinolophidae
Description: lncRNA (ENSRFEG00010018964.1)
Source: RNAcentral